UGUGCUUACGGGGGGCAGCAGUGAGGAAUAUUGGUCAAUGGACGGAAGUCUGAACCAGCCAUGCCGCGUGCAGGAAGACGGCUCUAUGAGUUGUAAACUGCUUUUGUACAAGGGUAAACCUGAAUACGUGUAUUCAGCUGAAAGUACUGUACGAAUAAGGAUCGGCUAACUCCGUGCCAGCAGCCGCGGUAAUACGGAGGAUCCAAGCGUUAUCCGGAUUUAUUGGGUUUAAAGGGUGCGUAGGCGGAUUGAUAAGUUAGAGUUGAAAUGUCCGAGCUCAACUCGUGAACUGCUUCUAA
RNAcentral lists this ribosomal RNA (299 nucleotides) under uncultured bacterium. Its description in RNAcentral is "partial 16S ribosomal RNA". It matches the Rfam family "Bacterial small subunit ribosomal RNA", at positions 334 to 630 of the family's 1533-position model. The record is from RNAcentral.